Molecule: ribosomal RNA, 120 nt
Filed under: Helianthus annuus (common sunflower)
Lineage: Eukaryota; Viridiplantae; Streptophyta; Magnoliopsida; Asterales; Asteraceae
Source: RNAcentral
GGUUGCGAUCAUACCAGCACUAAUGCACCGGAUCCCAUCAGAACUUCGUUGUUAAGCGUGCUUGGGCGAGAGUAGUACUAGGAUGGGUGACCCCCUGGGAAGUCCUCGUGUUGCAACCCC